GGUUAAGUGACUAAGCGUACACGGUGGAUGCCUGGGCAGUCAGAGGCGAUGAAGGACGUACUAACUUGCGAUAAGCGCAGAUAAGGCAGUAAGAGCCGUUUGAGUCUGCGAUUUCCGAAUGGGGAAACCCAACUGCAUAAGCAGUUACUGUUAACUGAAUACAUAGGUUAACAGAGCAAACCGGGGGAACUGAAACAUCUAAGUACCCCGAGGAGAAGAAAUCAACCGAGAUUCCGGUAGUAGCGGCGAGCGAACCUGGAUUAGCCCUUAAGCACUCGGUGAAGUAGGUGAACAAGCUGGAAAGCUUGGCGAUACAGGGUGAUAGCCCCGUAACCGACGCUUCAUCGAGCGUGAAAUCGAGUAGGGCGGGACACGUGAUAUCCUGUCUGAAUAUGGGGGGACCAUCCUCCAAGGCUAAAUACUCCUGACUGACCGAUAGUGAACCAGUACCGUGAGGGAAAGGCGAAAAGAACCCCUGUGAGGGGAGUGAAAUAGAACCUGAAACCGUGUACGUACAAGCAGUAGGAGCACCUUCGUGGUGUGACUGCGUACCUUUUGUAUAAUGGGUCAGCGACUUAUAUUCAGUGGCAAGGUUAACCGUAUAGGGGAGCCGUAGCGAAAGCGAGUCUUAACUGGGCGCUCAGUCUCUGGAUAUAGACCCGAAACCGGGUGAUCUAGCCAUGGGCAGGUUGAAGGUUGAGUAACAUCAACUGGAGGACCGAACCGACUAAUGUUGAAAAAUUAGCGGAUGACUUGUGGCUAGGGGUGAAAGGCCAAUCAAACUCGGAGAUAGCUGGUUCUCCCCGAAAGCUAUUUAGGUAGCGCCUCGGACGAAUACUACUGGGGGUAGAGCACUGUUAAGGCUAGGGGGUCAUCCCGACUUACCAACCCUUUGCAAACUCCGAAUACCAGUAAGUACUAUCCGGGAGACACACGGCGGGUGCUAACGUCCGUCGUGGAGAGGGAAACAACCCAGACCGCCAGCUAAGGUCCCAAAGUAUUGCUAAGUGGGAAACGAUGUGGGAAGGCUCAGACAGCUAGGAUGUUGGCUUAGAAGCAGCCAUCAUUUAAAGAAAGCGUAAUAGCUCACUAGUCGAGUCGGCCUGCGCGGAAGAUGUAACGGGGCUAAGCAAUACACCGAAGCUGCGGCAAUGUCUUUUAGACAUUGGGUAGGGGAGCGUUCUGUAAGCCGUUGAAGGUGAAUCGUAAGGUUUGCUGGAGGUAUCAGAAGUGCGAAUGCUGACAUGAGUAACGACAAAGGGGGUGAAAAACCUCCUCGCCGGAAGACCAAGGGUUCCUGUCCAACGUUAAUCGGGGCAGGGUGAGUCGACCCCUAAGGUGAGGCCGAAAGGCGUAAUCGAUGGGAAACGGGUUAAUAUUCCCGUACUUCUGACUAUUGCGAUGGGGGGACGGAGAAGGCUAGGUGGGCCAGGCGACGGUUGUCCUGGUUCAAGUGCGUAGGCUUGAGAGUUAGGUAAAUCCGGCUCUCUCUAAGGCUGAGACACGACGUCGAGCUACUACGGUAGUGAAGUCAUUGAUGCCAUGCUUCCAGGAAAAGCCUCUAAGCUUCAGAUAGUCAGGAAUCGUACCCCAAACCGACACAGGUGGUCGGGUAGAGAAUACCAAGGCGCUUGAGAGAACUCGGGUGAAGGAACUAGGCAAAAUGGUACCGUAACUUCGGGAGAAGGUACGCUCUUGAUGGUGAAGUCCCUCGCGGAUGGAGCUGACGAGAGUCGCAGAUACCAGGUGGCUGCAACUGUUUAUUAAAACACAGCACUGUGCAAAAUCGCAAGAUGACGUAUACGGUGUGACGCCUGCCCGGUGCCGGAAGGUUAAUUGAUGGGGUUAGCGCAAGCGAAGCUCUUGAUCGAAGCCCCGGUAAACGGCGGCCGUAACUAUAACGGUCCUAAGGUAGCGAAAUUCCUUGUCGGGUAAGUUCCGACCUGCACGAAUGGCGUAAUGAUGGCCACGCUGUCUCCACCCGAGACUCAGUGAAAUUGAAAUCGCUGUGAAGAUGCAGUGUACCCGCGGCUAGACGGAAAGACCCCGUGAACCUUUACUACAGCUUGGCACUGAACAUUGAACCUACAUGUGUAGGAUAGGUGGGAGGCUAUGAAGACGUGACGCCAGUUGCGUUGGAGCCGUCCUUGAAAUACCACCCUUGUAUGUUUGAUGUUCUAACUUAGACCCAUUAUCCGGGUUGAGGACAGUGCCUGGUGGGUAGUUUGACUGGGGCGGUCUCCUCCCAAAGAGUAACGGAGGAGCACGAAGGUGGGCUAAUCACGGUUGGACAUCGUGAGGUUAGUGCAAUGGCAUAAGCCCGCUUAACUGCGAGAAUGACGGUUCGAGCAGGUGCGAAAGCAGGUCAUAGUGAUCCGGUGGUUCUGUAUGGAAGGGCCAUCGCUCAACGGAUAAAAGGUACUCCGGGGAUAACAGGCUGAUACCGCCCAAGAGUUCAUAUCGACGGCGGUGUUUGGCACCUCGAUGUCGGCUCAUCACAUCCUGGGGCUGAAGUCGGUCCCAAGGGUAUGGCUGUUCGCCAUUUAAAGUGGUACGCGAGCUGGGUUUAGAACGUCGUGAGACAGUUCGGUCCCUAUCUGCCGUGGGCGUUGGAAGAUUGAAGGGGGCUGCUCCUAGUACGAGAGGACCGGAGUGGACGAACCUCUGGUGUUCGGGUUGUGUCGCCAGACGCAUUGCCCGGUAGCUAAGUUCGGAAUUGAUAAGCGCUGAAAGCAUCUAAGCGCGAAGCGAGCCCUGAGAUGAGUCUUCCCUGACAGUUUAACUGUCCUAAAGGGUUGUUCGAGACUAGAACGUUGAUAGGCAGGGUGUGUAAGCGUUGUGAGGCGUUGAGCUAACCUGUACUAAUUGCCCGUGAGGCUUAACCAU
RNAcentral lists this ribosomal RNA (2886 nucleotides) under Vibrio cholerae. RNAcentral's name for it is "23S ribosomal RNA". It matches the Rfam family "Bacterial large subunit ribosomal RNA". The record is from RNAcentral. Lineage: Bacteria; Pseudomonadati; Pseudomonadota; Gammaproteobacteria; Vibrionales; Vibrionaceae.